UUUUUCCAUUAUACCUGGUUUACAGUGUUCUGUCAAUUUUCUACUAUACAGCAAGGUGACCCAGUCACACAUACAUAUAUACAUUCUUUUUUCUCAUAUUAUCCUACUCCAUCAUAAGGGACUAGACAUAGUUCUCAGUGCUAUACAGCAGGAUCUAUUUGUUUAUCCACUCCAAAUGCACUAGUUUGCAUCUACUAACCCCCAAAUCCCAGUCUACCCCACUCCCUCCCUCUGGACAACCACAAGUCUAUUCUCCAAGUCUAUGAGUUUCUUUUCUGUGGAAAGGUUCAUUUAUGCCAUAUAUUAGACUCUACUAACCCCCAAAUCCCAGUCUACCCCACUCCCUCCCUCUGGACAACCACAAGUCUAUUCUCCAAGUCUAUGAGUUUCUUUUCUGUGGAAAGGUUCAUUUAUGCCAUAUAUUAGACUCUACAUAUAAGUGAUAUCAUAUGGUAUUUGUCUUUCUUUUUCUGACUUACUUCACUCAGUACGAGAGUCUCUAAUUCCAUUCAUGUUGCUGCAAAUGGCAUUAUUUUGCUCUUUUUAUGGCUGAAUAGUAUUCCAUUGUGUCUAUAUAUCACAUCUUCUCAAUCCAUUCAUCUGUCAAUGGACAUUUGGGUUGUUUCCAUGUCUUGGCUAUUGGGAACAGUGCUGCAAUGAGCAUACGGGUGCAUAUGUCUUUUUCAAGGCAAGUUUUGUCUGGAUAUACUCCCAAGAGGGGGAUUACUGGCUCAUGUGGUAGUUCUAUAUUUAGUUUUCUGAGGUACCCCCAUACCAUUUUCCAUAGUGGUUGUACCAAUUUACAUCAUCACCAACAGUGUAGGAGGCUUCCCUUUUGUCCACACCCUCUCCAGCAUUUGUUUUUUGUGGACUUAUUAAUGAUGGCCAUUCUGACUGGGGUGAGGUGUUAUCUCAUAGUAGUUUUGAUUUGCAUUUCUCUAACAAUCAAUGAUGUUGAGGAUUUUUUCAUGUGCUUAUCGGCCAUCUGUAUAUCUUUGGAGGAAUGUCUGGCCAGGUCUUUUGCCCAUUUUUGAAUUGGGUUGUUGGCUUUUUUUACUGUUGAGUUGUAUAAGUUGUUCGUAUACUUUAGCAAUUAAGCCCUCGUCAGUUGCAUCAUUUGAAACUAUUUUCUCCCAUUCCAUAGACUGUCUUUUUGGUUUUGUUUAUGGAUUCCUUUGCUGUGCAAAAGCUUGUCAGUUUGAUUAGGUCCCACUGGUUUAUGUUUGCUUUCAUUUCUGUUGCUUUGGGAUAUUGAUCUGAGAAAACAUUUGUAAGGCUGAUGUCAGAGAAUGUUUUGCCUAUGUUCUCUUCUAGGAGUUUGAUGGUGUCUUGUCUUACAUUUAUGUCUUUAAGGCAUUUUGAGUUUAUUUUCGUGCAUGGUGUGAGGAUGUGUUCUAGUUUCACUGAUUUACAUGCAGCUGUCCAGGUUUCCUAACAUCACUUGCUGAAGAGACUGUCUUUUUCCCAUUUUACGUUCUUACCUCCUUUGUUGAAGAUGAAUUGACUGUAGGUGUCUGGGUUCUCUCUUCUGUUCCAUUGGUCUGUCUGUCUGUUUUGGUACCAGUACCACACUGUCUUUAUGACUGUGGCUUUGUAAUAGUGCCUGAAGUCUGGGAGAGUUAUGCCUCCUGCUUGGUGUUUGUUCCUCAGGAUUGCUCUGGCAAUUCUGGGUCUUUUGUGGUUCCAUAUCAAUUUUUGGAUUGUUUGUUCUAGUUCUGUGAAAAAUGUCAUGCGUAAUUUGAUAGGGAUUGCAUUGAAUGUGUAGAUUGCUUUGGGUACUAUGUCCAUGUUUACAAUAUUAAUUCUUCCAAUCCAGGAGCAUGGAAUAUCUUUCCAUUUCUUUGUAUCCUGAAAAUGAGUCUCUAACUAGAGUGAGACAUAUUCCUAGUUAAUCCAAUAAGAUCAAACAUGAACACCAAGUCCAAAGUGAAAGAACAGAGAGAAAGUGAGCAACCCAAACCAAAUAAAACUCUAAGAGGAACUGUAAAAGUUAGAAACAAUUGAGGAUGCCUCUAAAGGGUCCCAUGAUUAGCACCAUAACUAUCUUUCAUGACGUCAACGUCAUCUUCUCAAAGAGGCACUGCCUAACCACUUAACUGGCCAUGUUCCCUCUCCAUAACAUCACUCUUUCCACUCCUUCCUUAGCAUGAAUCACAAAUUAUUUUACUGGUUUGUUUAUUUUUGUGUGAAUUAUCUGAAGAGGUGCAAGGACAUCUUUGUCUUAUUAAGCAAGUAACCUAGAACACUACUUGGCUAAAGGUCAGUAUUGGUAAGCAUGUGAAAUAAAUGUUGAGACAUCUUUCUUUUAUUUUUGCUAAGUCUAAUCUAUGGCAUCUAGGUAUAUCAGACCAGCUUGGAUAAACAUAAGAAAGAAGAAGGGGUUUCAUUUGUGUUAAUGAUCAGUAAGAUGAAGACAGAGUACCAAAAUAUGCUGUUUAACUUGGUGACUAGAGCUUGAAAGACAGGACUGUGCAAAGCCCCUUUACAGAAGAUGGAAAUAGAAGUCAUAUGGCACAAUGUAAACUGACGAAGAAAUGGACAGUGAAUGUUCAUUAAUUAAUUUAGCCAUCAUACGGUCAUGUUUAUUAAGUCAAAAGUUUUAAUUUUUGAAAUAUUAUACUGACGGGAAUGAAGAGAUUGGGGACUUAAGGAGGAAACAAACUCCAGCCUGCAUUUAUUUAAGAUGGGAAUACAGGAACUUGUUUGGAGGUUGGCGUGAAACAACUAGGGGAGUAAGAUAGAUGCAAGGUAUGAAAGAAAGGUGAAGUAAGAGAGCAAGGCUCAAAAAGGUGGAUAGAUCCUAUGUAUUCUCUAGAGAAUCAGGAAGUGAAGUCAUCUAGUAAGGAUUAGAGGAGCUCCAACUAAAGCUCUGUUUCUCCCUCCUCCGAGGCUACUCGCACGAUCUUCCUUCCUCCUAGACUGAUGCAGAACCCUCUAGGACCAUGUCUUCUUCAUGCCUGUAACCCCAUUUUCUGGCAGAUUACCUGGAACAUAGCUCUAUGAUAUACACAUGGGUCUGGAAAGGAAGGAACAAUUUGAGAAUAUGAUGUCUGGUUGUAGUAAGCUAAAGAGACAAAGGUCAAAGAUGCCUAUUUAGAGCCUGAGACACUAGAAAAAUUAGAAUAGGAUGAGUGUGAUGGGAAAACAAAAGGAGAAAGAGGUUUGGAAAUCAAGGGGUUAGUGCAAUUUCAAAUGUCCUGUUUUAAUCCACACUCAUGAGGAGUGCUGGCUGGUGAAGACCACAUCUCUGCCUUAGGCUGAUCUGUAGAUUGACUCUCCAAAUGCAUAUCUUCAAGUCCUCACCCAAGUAUUCAACUUCUUCUCCUCUCUCCUCAGCUAUUCACCAACAAUCCCCAAACACGUGGCUGUACCCAUCUACAUAAGCAGUUCCUUUGGGUCCAGCUUAAAGGUUUUCUAUAACCAUUAGAGUCACAGUGAAAACAUGUGAACAAUGUUCUCCAUGGUUCGCCAUGUGGACAUUAGGUUGAGUUGUCAAUCAUAUUGUUCAAGUUCUCCUUGGUUUUUUUUUAAUUUUUUAUUGAAGUAUAGUUGAUUUACAACAUUCCUUCCGUGUCUGUUGUAUAGCACAGUGACCCAGUCAUACAUAUAUGUACAUUCUUUUUUUUAAUACUGUCUUCCAACAUGUUCUAAUCCAAGAUAUUGGACACAGUUCUUACUGAUUUUUUGUUGGUUUAGUUUGCAUUGGGAUUCACCUUUGCUUUGCACAUUCCAUGGGUUUUGAAAAGAUACCUAAUGAAGUGUAACAAACCUUUUAAUAUGCAGAAUAGGUUCACUGCCCUAAAAAUCCUCUGUGCUCCUUCUACUAAUUCUUUCCUUGUAACCACUCAUCUUUCUGCUGCCACCAUAGUUUUAUCUUUUCCAGAAUAUCACACAAUUGGAAUCAUACCGUAUGACGCCUUUUUAGUCUGCCUAUUUACACUUAGUAAUAUACAUUUAGGUUUCCCCAUGUCUUCUCAGGUCUUUUCAUUUAAUUUCAUUUCCUUGUUCUCAUUUUUUCAACUGAAUAAUAUUUCGUUGCCUAGACAUACCACAGUAUAUUUCAUCCAUUCACCUGCUGAGGAAUAUCUUGGUCACUUCCAAAUUCUUGAAAUUAUAAAAAAAGAAGCUUCGGUACACAACAGUGUGCCAGUUUUUAUGAGAUAUGGAUGCUGACUUUUAAUCACAUUGAAAAAUGAAUUUAGGUGUAUAGGGAUGAACCAAGAUGUCUUCCAAAGUAGCUAUUCUACCUGCAUCCUCAGCAACAACAAAGAAGUGUUCCUUUCACACUUCAUCCUUGCUAGCAAUGGUAUUGCCGGUAUCUGGGUAUGGGCCACUGUAAUAAGUAUACAGGAAUAUUCCAUUCUCCUGUGCUUUGCAGAUACUGUGCUUGUGGCAACAACUAUCGCCACCAAUUUCUCUUCCCUCAACCCCUGGAGCCACUAAUCUUUUUACAGUCUGCAUUGUUUUGGCUCCCACUAUGUCAUAUAACUGGAAUUUUAAAGUAAAUAGCAUUAUCAGACUGGUUUCUUUCACACAGCAACAUGAUUUAAGAUUCCUCUAUGUCUUUUCAUGGAUUUAUAGCUCAUUUCUUCUUCUUGCUAAAAAUAAUCCACUGUAUGGAUAGGGAGACAGGAUUGAAAUGUUGGAAUAGAAGGACUGGAGCUCAACUUCUCUCAUAAAAACAACAAAAUUACGACCAUAUACUGGGAAACCUUCAACCAAAUGCACUGGAAGUGUUCAAAAAGAUAUCCUACUCCAGAAGACAAAGAGGAGGCCACAUCAAGAGGUAGGAGGGGAGAUUAUGUGAUAUAAGGAAGCCCCACAGACUGGAAAAUAACGGUAUCACAGAGCCUCACCUAUAGGAGUGAGAGUUCUGAGCCCCACGUCAAAUCCCCAUGCCUGGGGCCUGGCACUGGGAGAAAGAGCCCCCGGAGCAUCUGGCAUUGAAGGCCAGUGGGGCUUGUGUGCAAGAGCUCCACAGGACAGGGGGAAACAGAGACCCCAUUCUUGAAAGGUGCACAUGGACUUUACAUGCACUGGGUCCAAAGGCAAAGCAAAGGCUCCAUAGGAAUAUGGGACAGACCCGACUGCAGUUCUUGGAGGACUCUCUGGGAAAAGGGGAUGACAGCGGCUUGUUGUGAGGGAAGGACACUGGAGGCAAAGCUCUCGGGAAUAUUCAGCAACCUUGCCUUUCUCUGGAGGGGGCCAUUUUAGGAAAAUCUGGCCCCACCCAUCAGUGCUGAGAAGCCCCAAGCCAAACAACAAUCCAGGUGGGAUCACAGCCCCACCCAUCAGUGAACAGGCUGCCUAAAGAACCCACAGGCACACAGCUGCCUCUAAUCUCAUCCAAAGACAAAGCCCAACCAAGCACAGAGUGACAGGAAUCAGCUCCACCUACCAGGGGGCAGGCAUCAAUCCCUCCCAUCAGGAAGCCUACAGCAAGCCCCCCUACCGACUCCAGCCACAAGGGGGGCAGACACCAGAAGUAAGAGAGGCUACAACCCUCUUAUCUGUAAAAAGUCACCACACCAAAAACCUAUAAAAAUGAAAAGACAGAGACCUAUAACUCAGAUGUGGGAGAAAGAAAAAAACCCCACAAAACCAGCUAAGUGAUCAGGAGAUUCUCAGUCUCCAGGAAAAGGCUUUAGACUGUUGAUCCUGAAGAUGAUGUAAGACACUGGAAAUACCCUGGAGGCAAAGAUGGAUAAUUUACAGGAAACACAAGCAAAGAAAUACAAGAUAUUAAAACUUAAGCAAGCAGAGAUGCAAAAUACAAUAACUGAAAUAAAAAAUUCAUUAGAAGUAGCCAACAGCAGAAUAUAGGGGGCAGAAGAACAAAUAAGCAAGAUGGAGGACAGAUGAGUAGAAAUCAAUGAUGAGAAACAGAAAGGAGAAAAAAGAUUGAAAACAAUGAAGAGAGUCUCAGAGAACUCUAGGACAACAUUAAACACACCAAAAUCCAUAUUAUGGGGGGCCAGAAAGAGAAGAGAGAGGGAAAGGGACAGAAAAAAUAUUCCAAGCGAUAAUAGCUGAAAACUUCCCUAACAUGGGAAAGGAACCACUCACUCAAAUCCAGGAAGCACAAGUGCCAUAUAAAAUAAACCCAAGGAGGAACACCCCAAGACACAUAUUAAUCAAACUGACCAAAAUUAAAGACAAAGAGAAAAUCUUGAAAGCAGCUACAGAAAAGAAACAAACAACAUACAAGGGAAUCCUGAUGAGGUUAUUGGCAGAUUUUUCAGCAGAAACUCUGCAGGCCAGAAGGGAGUGGCAAGUUAUACUUAACAUGAUGAAAGGGAAAAACCUCCAACCAAGAUUACUUUACCCAGCAAGGCUCUCAUUCAGAUGUGAAGGAGAAAUCAAAACCUUCACAGAUAAGAAAAAGGUAAGAGAAUUCAGCAACACUAAACUAGCUUUACAACAAAUACUAAAGGAACUUCUCUAGACAGAAAGGAAAAGGCCACAACCAGAAACAAAAAUACCACAAAUGACAAGGCUCACCAGGAAAGACAUGAAAUCAUCCAUACACAAUUAUGCCACCAAAAUCAGAAAUUCUGAGAAGAGGUGGGUACCAAUGCAGGACACUGGAGACACACUUGCAGUUAAGAGACCAAAAACUUAAAACAAUCUCGUGUAUAUAUAUACAGAGCGACUCAUAUCAAAACUUCAGAGUAACUGCAAAUCAAAAAUCCACAAUGGAUACAC
RNAcentral lists this long non-coding RNA (6705 nucleotides) under Sus scrofa (pig). Its description in RNAcentral is "lncRNA (ENSSSCG00065004606.1)". Lineage: Eukaryota; Metazoa; Chordata; Mammalia; Artiodactyla; Suidae. The record is from RNAcentral.